UACUUUCACUUUCGAUUUACCACUUCCGGGUACAUUGGCAGACUUAUUUACCGUUGUGCAUAUAGGUAACCCGAAGAACUCGAGGGAUAUAGAAGUUAAAUUUGUUUCGGUCCUCUUCAGAUUUAAAGGAAUGGAUAGCACGGGUCAAAAAAUGCAGAUAAAAAGGGAAAAGAUGAAGGAGGAUUUGUCCAUGAAGACCUUUAUUGCAACUACCAUCUUCCUGUUCCUUAAUUUGAGAAUGAUAUCAGAGAACACAAAGUUACAGUGAAAUAUUAGUUUAAUAUAAGCCACUGAGAAUAGUCAAAUGUACUUUCCUGAAGAAGAUGAAUGACAUCCAGCACAAGAAUCUUAAUGUAUAAAGAGUAUGAUUUUAAAGUGUUUGACACUAUGAUCUUGUUAACAUGUUAAUGCCACAAUGAUAGAAACAGAGUAAAAUAUCCACAUUUCAUUCAUAUGAAAUAAAGAUUAGCAAGACUAUUAUAUAUCAUCUACUACUAAUAUUGUGAGGUAAUCAUUGAUAAGCUCACAAAUUUGAAUUCAAAGCUUUGAUAUCAAGCUGAACAUUUUUCAAUUAGAAUAUGAUUUAUAACUCUAUGAUAAUUUGUUCAUGUUAAUUUUCAAAGUCUUUACAUUUGUAAAAGGAAAUAUUCUUAUUCUUGUAUCAGUAGACAUUCUCAGUGUAAAGUUACAUUGUUCAAAUAACUAAUAAUAAUUCCAAGUGCUUUCCUGAAGUUUUUCUUCCACUGGAAAAUCAGUGUGAUAUAUAUGCUAAGCAGUGCACUAUAAAUUUUGUAAAAAUAAAAGUUUAUUAAACCUA
This is a long non-coding RNA of Ruditapes philippinarum (Manila clam), 817 nucleotides long. RefSeq lists it as uncharacterized. NCBI's taxonomy places the organism in Eukaryota, Metazoa, Mollusca, Bivalvia, Venerida, Veneridae. The record is from RefSeq and is a predicted model, not a curated record. The transcript is spliced from 2 exons.